AAACAUACCUGGAAGGGGAGACACCAUAAUCUAGAAGGUAAUCUUUCCCAGGGUGAGGCUCAACCAUGACCCUUGGGUUGUGCUGACCCCUUCUAUUUCCCCAAGCAUGGGAAAUUUCACUAUAGAGUUUAUGAUAAUGGAGGACUGUUUAUACUCUUCUCUA
Small nuclear RNA from Myodes glareolus (Bank vole), 163 nucleotides. RefSeq annotates it as U1 spliceosomal RNA. The record is from RefSeq and is a predicted model, not a curated record. Lineage: Eukaryota; Metazoa; Chordata; Mammalia; Rodentia; Cricetidae.